This 368-nucleotide ribosomal RNA is filed under the name uncultured bacterium. RNAcentral describes it as "bacterial SSU rRNA". It matches the Rfam family "Bacterial small subunit ribosomal RNA", at positions 355 to 740 of the family's 1533-position model. The record is from RNAcentral.
UAGGGAAUAUUAGAAAUGGACGAAAGUCUGAUCUAGCAACACCGCGUGUGCGAAGAAGGCCUUCGGGUCGUAAAGCACUUUUUGGAAGGAAUAGGAAGGAAUGUACUUCCAGAAUAAGUCUCGGCUAACUACGUGCCAGCAGCCGCGGUAACACGUAGGAGGCGAACGUUAUCCGGAUUUACUGGGCGUAAAGCGCGUGUAGGUGGUACUGUAAGUAGGGCGUGAAAGCUCCUGGCUCAACUGGGAGAGGCCGUUCUAAACUGCAGAGCUAGAGGAUGGUAGAGGGAGGUGGAAUUCCAGGUGUAGCGGUGGAAUGCGCAGAUAUCUGGAGGAGCACCGGUGGCGAAGGCGGCCUCCUGGACCAUUCC